GACGAACGCUGGCGGCGUGCUUAACACAUGCAAGUCGAACGGAAAGGCCCUGCUUUUGUGGGGUGCUCGAGUGGCGAACGGGUGAGUAACAAGUGAGUAACCUGCCCUUUACUUUGGGAUAACUUCAGGAAACUGGGGCUAAUACCGGAUAGGAGCUCCUGCUGCAUGGUGGGGGUUGGAACGUUUCGGCGGUUGGGGAUGGACUCGCGGCUUAUCAGCUUGUUGGUGGGGUAGUGGCUUACCAAGGCUUUGGCGGGUAGCCGGCCUGAGAGGGUGACCGGCCACAUUGGGCCUGAGAUCCGGCCCAGACUCCUACGGGAGGAAGCAGUGGGGAAUAUUGCACAAUGGGCGGAAGCCUGAUGCAGAAACGCCGCGUGCGGGAUGACGGCCUUCGGUUUGUAAACCGCUUUCGCCUGUGACGAAGCGUGAGUGACGGUAAUGGGUAAAGAAGCACCGGCUAACUACGUG
RNAcentral lists this ribosomal RNA (468 nucleotides) under uncultured bacterium. RNAcentral describes it as "partial 16S ribosomal RNA". It matches the Rfam family "Bacterial small subunit ribosomal RNA", at positions 28 to 507 of the family's 1533-position model. The record is from RNAcentral.